AUUGAACGCUGGCGGCAGGCCUAACACAUGCAAGUCGAGCGGUAGAGAGGUGCUUGCACCUCUUGAGAGCGGCGGACGGGUGAGUAAUGCCUAGGAAUCUGCCUGGUAGUGGGGGAUAACGCUCGGAAACGGACGCUAAUACCACAUACGUCCUACGGGAGAAAGCAGGGGACCUUCGGGCCUUGCGCUAUCAGAUGAGCCUAGGUCGGAUUAGCUAGUUGGUGAGGUAAUGGCUCACCAAGGCGACGAUCCGUAACUGGUCUGAGAGGAUGAUCAGUCACACUGGAACUGAGACACGGUCCAGACUCCUACGGGAGGCAGCAGUGGGGAAUAUUGGACAAUGGGCGAAAGCCUGAUCCAGCCAUGCCGCGUGUGUGAAGAAGGUCUUCGGAUUGUAAAGCACUUUAAGUUGGGAGGAAGGGCGUUACCUAAUACGUGACGACUUUGACGUUACCGACAGAAUAAGCACCGGCUAACUCUGUGCCAGCCGCCGCUGUAA
RNAcentral lists this ribosomal RNA (499 nucleotides) under uncultured bacterium. RNAcentral's name for it is "partial 16S ribosomal RNA". It matches the Rfam family "Bacterial small subunit ribosomal RNA", at positions 30 to 523 of the family's 1533-position model. The record is from RNAcentral.